AGUGAACGCUGGCGGUAGGCCUAACACAUGCAAGUCGAACGGCAGCACAGUAAGAGCUUGCUCUUACGGGUGGCGAGUGGCGGACGGGUGAGGAAUACAUCGGAAUCUACUUUUUCGUGGGGGAUAACGUAGGGAAACUUACGCUAAUACCGCAUUCGACCUACGGGUGAAAGCAGGGGAUCUUCGGACCUUGCGCGAUUGAAUGAGCCGAUGUCGGAUUAGCUAGUUGGCGGGGUAAAGGCCCACCAAGGCGACGAUCCGUAGCUGGUCUGAGAGGAUGAUCAGCCACACUGGAACUGAGACACGGUCCAGACUCCUACGGGAGGCAGCAGUGGGGAAUAUUGGACAAAGGGCGCAAGCCUGAUCCAGCCAUACCGCGUGGGUGAAGGAGGCCUUCGGGUUGUAAAGCCCUUUUGUUGGGAAAGAAAAGCAGCAGGUUAAUACCCCGCUGUUCUGACGGUACCCAAAGAAUAAGCACCGGCUAACUUCGUG
This 492-nucleotide ribosomal RNA is filed under the name uncultured bacterium. RNAcentral describes it as "partial 16S ribosomal RNA". It matches the Rfam family "Bacterial small subunit ribosomal RNA", at positions 29 to 507 of the family's 1533-position model. The record is from RNAcentral.